This 497-nucleotide ribosomal RNA is filed under the name uncultured bacterium. Its description in RNAcentral is "partial 16S ribosomal RNA". It matches the Rfam family "Bacterial small subunit ribosomal RNA", at positions 28 to 507 of the family's 1533-position model. The record is from RNAcentral.
GAUGAACGCUGGCGGCGUGCCUAAUACAUGCAAGUCGAGCGAACAGACGAGGAGCUUGCUCCUUCGACGUUAGCGGCGGACGGGUGAGUAACACGUAGGUAACCUACCUAUAAGACUGGGAUAACUUCGGGAAACCGGAGCUAAUACCGGAUAAUAUUUCGAACCGCAUGGUUCGAUAGUGAAAGAUGGCUUUGCUAUCACUUAUAGAUGGACCUGCGCCGUAUUAGCUAGUUGGUAAGGUAACGGCUUACCAAGGCAACGAUACGUAGCCGACCUGAGAGGGUGAUCGGCCACACUGGAACUGAGACACGGUCCAGACUCCUACGGGAGGCAGCAGUAAGGAAUCUUCCGCAAUGGGCGAAAGCCUGACGGAGCAACGCCGCGUGAGUGAUGAAGGUCUUCGGAUCGUAAAACUCUGUUAUUAGGGAAGAACAAACGUGUAAGUAACUGUGCACGUCUUGACGGUACCUAAUCAGAAAGCCACGGCUAACUACGUG